RNAcentral lists this non-coding RNA (180 nucleotides) under Vulcanibacillus modesticaldus. RNAcentral describes it as "6S / SsrS RNA". It matches the Rfam family "6S / SsrS RNA". From Rfam's summary of the family: E. coli 6S RNA was the first non coding RNA to be sequenced, but its function was unknown until recently. It consists of 184 nucleotides that fold into an extended hairpin structure with a large single-stranded internal bulge. The record is from Rfam by way of RNAcentral. Lineage: Bacteria; Bacillati; Bacillota; Bacilli; Caryophanales; Bacillaceae.
AGAGCCCUACGUUGUACGUGACUAACCGAUAGUUUUGAGCCAACACCUAUUAGAAGGGAGUCUGGAGUUCUUUAGUGAACUUGAUACUAUAGUUUACUAUAGGACAAUGAAGCUAAAGACAGGACACCCACCUGCGAGAGCAGGUUCAAAACUUAGGAGACACGGCAUCCCGGGGCUCUU